GAUGAAGAACGUAGUGAAAUGCGAUAAUUAAUGUGAAUUGCAGAAUUCCGUGAAUCAUCGAGUCUUUGAACGCACAUUGCGCCUCAUGGCAUUCCGUGAGGCAUGCCCAUCUCAGCGUUAGAAAAUAUUCUCAAAUUUUAGUUUUGUGCUAAAAUUUGGAUCAUGUCAAAGAAGCUAUUACUAUUAUUGUGAUCGCUCUUUGGAAAUUGAUAGGUCUUUGAAUUGCUACUCAUAGAACGUGAUGAAUCUUUCUUCGUUCUAUUGUAAUUCACUCUGGUAGUCCUAAAACUUGUAUGCUCUGGCAUAUCUUGUAAUUUGACCUGAGAUUGGGUAGGGAUACCCGCUGAACUUAAGCAUAUCAAUAAGCGGAGGA
This 373-nucleotide unclassified non-coding RNA is filed under the name soil metagenome. RNAcentral describes it as "partial contains internal transcribed spacer 2 and large subunit ribosomal RNA". The stretch from base 1 to 120 matches the Rfam family "5.8S ribosomal RNA", at positions 35 to 154 of the family's 154-position model. The record is from RNAcentral.